UACGGAGGGUGCGAGCGUUGUCCGGAAUCACUGGGCGUAAAGGGCGCGUAGGUGGCGCAGGAAGUCAACGGUGAAAGUCCGGGGCUCAACCUCGGAUCGGCCGUGGCGACUCGUGGGCUGGAGCACUGUAGAGGCGGGUGGAAUUCCGGGUGUAGCGGUGGAAUGCGUAGAGAUCCGGAAGAACACCAGUGGCGAAAGCGGCGCACUGGACCACAACUGACGCUGAGGCGCGAAAGCUAGGGGAGCAAACAGG
Molecule: ribosomal RNA, 253 nt
Filed under: uncultured bacterium
Lineage: Bacteria
Description: partial 16S ribosomal RNA
Rfam family: Bacterial small subunit ribosomal RNA
Source: RNAcentral